CAAGGUUUAUAAUCUCUAAAUGUACAUUUGCAUUAACAUUAUUUACAAACAAAUUAUGCAAUGAACGACCCAACCUCUAGUAGCAGAGUGACUCGGAAGAAGGUGCUAUGAGAUGCCUUUACCUAUCUACGGUGGACAAUAUGUGCUGAUGAAUGCACGCUAUGCCGAUCACUAUCUGCAAAAAGGGGGUGAGUCUCACAGACUUAGUGAUCAUCAGCUCCGUGAGCAGGGUGUACAUGGGAAACAAGCUUAGGGCAGAACUUUUUGAAUAACAAAACCAGAGUAUAAAAUGAUAACCUUAUAAAACCAAACAACAAAUAAGGUGCUUGUGCCUUGUAAAAAUAAUUUCGUAAAAAUCAUAAUGCAAUACUUUCCUUGGCAAACAAUGCCGAAAUCAAAGCAUAGUAAAAUAAAUUUCAAUUAUCGAAAUCAUUUAUUUCCUUCAUAAAUACAAUGGUCGUAUAAAAAUACACACACUCCCGAACGGUGUGGCAUGUAAAAAUAACCGAGUAUAUCCACAUUCAUCAAUUCAUGAUCAACAUAUAAAGCACUGAAAACUUUCAAUUUAAAAGGGGAGCUACAACAAAAAAAUAUUUCUCCACCAUGCAAAAGAGUGCGAGUCCAAAAAUUCUCAAGGCUCUCGAGUACGUAAUCAUAGAUAAUCAACUUGGUGGACCCUCUUCCACGUAAUAACAAUCCAAGAUCCCCCUUAUAGCAGAUUCCCACAGCCAUGGCAGUCUCGAUGAUGUUGGUCGACAUCGGAGAAAUCAAAUGGUCGCAACCACAUAUAUCAACUCGUGGCCUUGCCACGUAUAAUCACAGAUCGUGGCCUAGCCACGUCUAACAGCCCGUCGGGGAUCGAAAGGUUUUUUAUCUAGAGCUCACUUGUGCACAAGGGUCACACUAUUCUGAUGUGACAUUCGACCUACUCUCGAUGCUCUCGGUUUGUCAAAAUCAUUUUCAGAAACCAAAUCAAGGUUUUCAAGAGUUAUUCUUUAAAUCAUUUUAAAAAAAGGUUCGGCAACCUUUCAAAAUUGUUUUCCACAUUAAAAUGCAUGGUGUAAACAUUUGCAUAAAGUUCGAACUAAAACCGGCUCACAAGAAUUCAAAUUUAAGUCAUUUAUCAAGUGCAAUCAACUAUGCACAUCACAUAAAGAUACAGGGCAUGGUUUUGAUGCAAAACAUUGCAAAAGGGCUUGUUUUUCGGUUUCUCAAACACUUUACAUAUGUGUAUAUAUAUAGUAUACACAAACAACUUCCAAAUCAAUUUGCAUCCACAAUUGCCUAUCGUUUCUACCAGUUCAUGCUUCUCACAAAAGUAGUGUAUAAAUCAUAGCAAACCAUGUAUUCAAAUCACUUGUCAUUUUCUAGCAACUCAUGCUUUCCACAAAGGCAUUGGAUAAUACUAUAUAUAUACUUUGAUAUAGUAAGAAUAUUUUAAAAUUGACACCCCCUACUCACUUUUCUUGGUAGGAUAUUACUUCGUCAAUUUAAACUCUUUGCAUUUUUAAUCGAUCAAUAUCACUCGCUGUUUAACCAUUAUCCUUCUUAAUUUACACGCAUGGCAACAAUCCUUUACUUGUCAAUUUCCUGGCAACACUUAAAUCCAAAAUACUUAGCAACUUUACAAUUUAUUCUAUCCCACACUUGUUGCCCACACUUAAGCUUUUAUAGCCUAUUCUUUAUUCUCCCUUUUCAUUCAAGGACUAACCAUUAACUAAGUAGUUCAAUUCAUGCUAUAAUUAGCAUUCCUUCACAAUUAAUCUUUUGCACAUAUAUAUAUAGGUAUCAACUUUACCAAAGAAUUCUCAAGUCUUUACGUGCAUAAUUUUCUAUCCUUUACUUUUUACAAAACAUUACAUUCCCACAACAUCCAAACUCAUAACUAGUACAAGCAUUCUUUCUAACCAUACCUAAGAUAGCAUAAUCAAUUUACAUUGUAUGCUUACCUUUGGAAUGGCUUGGACUUUCAUGCACUUCAAUAUUUCCUCCAAAGCGUUUUUUCUUUAUACCUUAAUUUCCACCAUUCAACAAUGGUUUGGUGACAUGCAUGCAGCUAUUCUCUUUCAAACCUUGUAAAUCUUUACUGUCAUGAACAUUUUCACACAAUCACAAUUCAUUUCCAUAACAAAUCUAUAACCAAAAUCAAAGUUCCACUUACCAUAAAUUGGUUGGACCCGUGGAUCAUCCAUAUUCUUUUCCUCUUGAUCCAAAGCUUUUUCUUUCAUGUUUCUUGACCACUAGGAAAAAUAACUCAUAUCUCUCAACAAAGGAUGAAUUUCUGGAAGCAAUGAAGCUUGAUGAUAGGAAAAUGGCAAGAACUAAGCUCACGCAUACUAAGAGAAAAGGAGUAGCCAAACACUUUUCUCUCAACUCUUUCUCUCCUCUCGAGUGGAAGCCUCACAAGGCUAUUUCCUCUUAAUUUUUCUUCGAAAUGGGGUGGAUCUCUCAAGGCAAACACACUUUGUUUGCUUUCUUUUUGGUAUGGG
Molecule: long non-coding RNA, 2489 nt
Filed under: Theobroma cacao (cacao)
Lineage: Eukaryota; Viridiplantae; Streptophyta; Magnoliopsida; Malvales; Malvaceae
Description: long non-coding RNA (TCAC_LNC003343)
Source: RNAcentral